GAUACUGUGUGUUACUCAUAUAUAUGUGUACAAAAGAACUUGAAUGCAACUUGAAUGCAGUGUAAAGCCAACUUUCCACAGGACAGAAUAUAGGCUGCGAUUAAAUUCUGUGUCAACAAUCAACUAAAUCUGUUACUGAAAACAUUUGUAAUAUUAGAAGCUUUAUCUCUAUAGUACAAUUUGUGUGCAUUUGCCUCACUCCAACAGUGCCAAUGCAGAGGGAGGAGCUCUGAUGUCUACACAGUGGCUAUCCCCUUUCUCUUCAGUAUUUGAAAAUGCACAUAGAUUUAUGAGGUAUCUGUUCCAGAUCAGGCUGAAGCAUCUACAAAUCUCUACCGAGUGGAUCAGCUAGUCCCAGAUUGAUUUGUAGGGAUUUGUACAGAUCUGUAGCGCAAAAUAGUCUCUAAUGAACCCAGACAGGAUGUCUCUGAAAUGGAGCAAUUACAACACCAUAAAGGAGAACACCAGGGUGGGAAGAGAGGAAGGUCCCAUCCUUAUUUACAUUUUUUAAAAUUGUCUGUGUUUUUUUAUUUUAUUCAAUUUUCAUUGCUAAGAAUUAUUAUUAAAUCUUGUGGGUAUAUUUAGCCACAGUUUUCUGAAUUCAGUGUAGUUGUUAUUUUCCAGCUGCUACCUGAAACAGUAAGAAGCAGCCAGCUUGUGUGGUUUUACCUUUUAUUAUUAUUACUAACCAGCUAGCCAGUCAAGCCUAUAUUAGUCAGCAUUCUGAGUUAAGAAUUAUGAUUAUGAUUUCUAAUUGCAAACCACAGUGAAUAUUUUUAAUAUUAAAAAGUAUUCUUAUUUUU
This is a long non-coding RNA of Rhineura floridana, 803 nucleotides long. RefSeq lists it as uncharacterized. The transcript has 2 exons. Lineage: Eukaryota; Metazoa; Chordata; Lepidosauria; Squamata; Rhineuridae. The record is from RefSeq and is a predicted model, not a curated record.